ACUGAUCAUCGACUGGCUCUUUGUCCCCUCUUUAAAAACUAUGACCGAUCAAAGAACACAAAAUGUGAGUCUAAUUGUUCUUUAAGAAAAGAGGCCGGGCGUGGUGGCGCACGCCUUUAAUCCCAGCACUGGGGAGGCAGAGGCAGGCGGAUUUCUGAGUUCGAGGCCAGCUUGGUCUACAAAGUGAGUGCCAGGACAGCCAGGGCUAUACAGAGAAACCCUGUCUCAAAAAACCAAAAAAAAAAAAAAAAAAAAGAAAGAAAAGAGAUGCUCUCGGGCAGUGGUGGCCCAUGCCUUUAAUCCCAGUGCUUGGAAGGCAGAGGCAGGCGGAUUUCUGAGUUCAAGGCCAGCCUGGUCUACAGAGUGAGUUCCAGGACAGCCAGGGCUAUACAGAGAAACCCUGUCUCAAAAACAAAAACAAACAAAAAAAACAAGCAAACAAACAAACAUAAAAAGAGAUGCUCUCAGCAGCCCGCCUCAGCCUCCCAGAUGUGAGCAUGUCAGGUGUGCACUACUGAACCUGGUUUGAGCAUAAAUAUACGGCAGUUCAUUCUAAUUUUCUCCCCAAGGCAAAGUUCAAUCCUGAGAAAGUCCUGGACUAUUUGGAAUCCUGUAAGACUCCAUGUGGUAGGUAACCACACUUUAGGCCAUAAAUGAUGUGUGUAUUGUAUUAGCUAUAAAUUUUGGUAAUACACCAAAUAUAUCUUCUUUCCCUGCUGAUCCUGUAAUGUUUGUUUGUUUCUGGCCUAGCAUUCACUCUGUAGGCCAGGCUAGUCUUAGACUCAGAGAUAUGGCUACCACUACCUCUCAAGCCCUGGGAUUAAAGGCAUGCACCACCAAACCCUAAACAUCUCCACC
This 858-nucleotide long non-coding RNA is filed under the name Mus musculus (house mouse). RNAcentral describes it as "long non-coding RNA chr3:122023238-122024096". The record is from RNAcentral. Lineage: Eukaryota; Metazoa; Chordata; Mammalia; Rodentia; Muridae.